This 777-nucleotide ribosomal RNA is filed under the name Triticum aestivum (bread wheat). RNAcentral describes it as "partial small subunit ribosomal RNA". The record is from RNAcentral. Lineage: Eukaryota; Viridiplantae; Streptophyta; Magnoliopsida; Poales; Poaceae.
AUGAACCUGACUCUCCUCACGAGGUGGCUCUGGUGCAUUGUGAAUGGCGAGGGUGGUUUGUGGUUGCAAAUCAUCUGGAGCAAAUAUUUGCACGGCCAACCCCUCGCCUUCUGCAUCCGAUCGGGUGGUUCCCAGUUCUGGCAGUCCGUCAUCCAGCUGCUCCCGGUCCUCCGCAUCGGGACCUCCAUUUCGGUUGGCUCUGGGACGACCACGCUGUUUUGGUUCGACCGCUGGGCUGGGGACUCCCCCUUCCCUGCCAGGUUCCCGGAUCUUUUCUCCAUUGCGGUGGAGCCUAGGAUUUCUGUUGAGACGUCCCUUAUUGACUUAGGGUGUCUCGUUUUUCGGAGGCCAUUCGGGCCCCCGGAAGUCGCUGCCUGGCAUGAGCUUCUGGGCGCCGUUGCUCUCCAUGAGCCGGAUUUGACACAGCCCAACGACCGCCUGUCUUGGCGCCUCGAACCCUCAGGAAGGUUCUCAACUAAAUCCCUAUAUCAGGUGAUUGCUCCCACCCCUGGCCCGGCAGUCCUUGAGAUGGUCUGGGCUAUCCGUCUUCCCCUAAAGAUCAGAAUUUUCUUGUGGCAAUGGAUCCGCGGCCGGCUCCCCUCCGACGUGGAGGUGUUGAAACGGCAAGGCCCGGGCGACGGGAUUUGCCCCCUAUGUGGGACUGAGGAAACCUCGAAUCACAUUUUCUUCUCGUGUGUUUACGCCCAGUUCCUUUGGGGAUGCCUCCGUGAGGCUAUUGGUGACAACUGGUGUAACGCCAACUGUUGGGGAACGUAG